CAGCAGCCGCGGUAAUACAGGGGGGGCAAGCGUUGUUCGGAAUUACUGGGCGUAAAGGGUCUGUAGGUGGCUUGCUAAGUCAGACGUGAAAUCCCUCAGCUUAACUGGGGAACUGCGUCUGAUACUGGCAAGCUUGAGUGCAGGAGAGGAACGCGGAAUUCCAGGUGUAGCGGUGAAAUGCGUAGAUAUCUGGAGGAACACCGGUGGCGAAGGCGGCAUCCUGGACCGGUAUUGACGCUGAGGCGCGAAAGCUAGGGGAGCAAACGGGAUUAGAUACCCCGGUAGUCCUAGCCCUAAACGAUGAGUGCUUGGUGUGGCUGGUAUCGAUCCCUGCCGUGCCGAAGCUAACACAUUAAGCACCCCGCCUGGGGAGUACGGCCGCAAGGCUAAAACUCAAAGGAAUUGACGG
This 409-nucleotide ribosomal RNA is filed under the name uncultured bacterium. RNAcentral describes it as "bacterial SSU rRNA". It matches the Rfam family "Bacterial small subunit ribosomal RNA", at positions 509 to 916 of the family's 1533-position model. The record is from RNAcentral.